RNAcentral lists this non-coding RNA (27 nucleotides) under Mus musculus (house mouse). The record is from RNAcentral. Lineage: Eukaryota; Metazoa; Chordata; Mammalia; Rodentia; Muridae.
UGGCUACUCGGAGCAUUCAGCUCAGUU